GAUGAACGCUGGCGGCGUGCUUAACACAUGCAAGUCGAACGGGAAACCUUUUAUUGAAGCUUCGGCAGAUUUAGCUGGUUUCUAGUGGCGGACGGGUGAGUAACGCGUGGGUAACCUGCCUUAUACAGGGGGAUAACAACCAGAAAUGGUUGCUAAUACCGCAUAAGCGCACAGGACCGCAUGGUCCGGUGUGAAAAACUCCGGUGGUAAAAGAUGGACCCGCGUUGGAUUAGCUAGUUGGCAGGGUAACGGCCUACCAAGGCGACGAUCCAUAGCCGGCCUGAGAGGGUGAACGGCCACAUUGGGACUGAGACACGGCCCAGACUCCUACGGGAGGCAGCAGUGGGGAAUAUUGCACAAUGGGGGAAACCCUGAUGCAGCGACGCCGCGUGAAGGAAGAAGUAUCUCGGUAUGUAAACUUCUAUCAGCAGGGAAGAUAGUGACGGUACCUGACUAAGAAGCCCCGGCUAACUACGUG
Molecule: ribosomal RNA, 478 nt
Filed under: uncultured bacterium
Lineage: Bacteria
Description: partial 16S ribosomal RNA
Rfam family: Bacterial small subunit ribosomal RNA
Source: RNAcentral